GCAUCAGUUUGGACUUAUCCCCCGGGACUCUCAUAGUGCCUCAUGCCAGAGCAACUAGCUCUGAACCAUUGCCCAGUCUCUGCCGAUAGGGUGCUGGCAAUGAAGCAGACUGCACAGUA
This 119-nucleotide small nucleolar RNA is filed under the name Tupaia belangeri (northern tree shrew). RNAcentral's name for it is "Small nucleolar RNA SNORA42/SNORA80 family (ENSTBEG00000020003.1)". Lineage: Eukaryota; Metazoa; Chordata; Mammalia; Scandentia; Tupaiidae. The record is from RNAcentral.